UAGAGUAGUGGUUGGCACAUCUGCUUUACAUGCAGAAAGUCCUGGGUUCAAGCCCCAG
Molecule: transfer RNA, 58 nt
Filed under: Pteropus alecto (black flying fox)
Lineage: Eukaryota; Metazoa; Chordata; Mammalia; Chiroptera; Pteropodidae
Also listed under: 1 other name
Rfam family: tRNA
About the family: Transfer RNA (tRNA) molecules are approximately 80 nucleotides in length. Their secondary structure includes four short double-helical elements and three loops (D, anti-codon, and T loops).
Source: Rfam by way of RNAcentral